Molecule: long non-coding RNA, 104 nt
Organism: Thalassophryne amazonica
Lineage: Eukaryota; Metazoa; Chordata; Actinopteri; Batrachoidiformes; Batrachoididae
Exons: 3
Source: RefSeq, a predicted model, not a curated record
ACAAUUUACCCAGACUGACAACAAAUAUGAGUAAAGUAAGUACUUUUAUGCAUUUCUUUUGUGGUUUCUUGAAGCAUUUUGUGAAUGCGGAAAAGCGCCCCUGU